RNAcentral lists this ribosomal RNA (895 nucleotides) under uncultured Planctomycetota bacterium. Its description in RNAcentral is "bacterial SSU rRNA". It matches the Rfam family "Bacterial small subunit ribosomal RNA", at positions 58 to 965 of the family's 1533-position model. Lineage: Bacteria; Pseudomonadati; Planctomycetota. The record is from RNAcentral.
CAAGUCGAACGAAUCCCUUGUAGCAAUAUGAGGGGGAAGUGGCGAAAGGGGCAGUAAUGUAUGGGUAACGUACCCGGGGGUCGUGGAUAGCCGUCCUAACGGACGGGUAAUACACGGCGAUUCGGCGGGAGGACAUCCUCUUGCCGGGAAAGAAUUUCGCCUCCGGAGCGGCUCAUAUCGUAUUAGCUAGUUGGUGAGGUAACGGCUCACCAAGGCGAAGAUGCGUAGCGGGUGUGAGAGCACGACCCGCGCCACUGGCACUGAGACACUGGCCAGACACCUACGGGUGGCUGCAGUCGAGGAUCUUCGGCAAUGGGCGCAAGCCUGACCGAGCGACGCCGCGUGGAUGAUGAAGGCCUUCGGGUUGUAAAAUCCUGUCGAGGGGGAUCAAGGCGCAAGCUUGAGUGAUCCCUGGAGGAAGCACGGGCUAAGUUCGUGCCAGCAGCCGCGGUAAGACGAACCGUGCAAACGUUAUUCGGAAUCACUGGGCAUAAAGGGCGCGUAGGCGGCUUUCUAAGUCAGGGGUGAAAUCCGGCAGCUCAACUGUCGCAGUGCCUUUGAUACUGGAGAGUUCGAGGGAGGUAGGGGUCUGUGGAACUUCCGGUGGAGCGGUGAAAUGCGUUGAUAUCGGAAGGAACGCCGGUGGCGAAAGCGACGGACUGGAUCUCUUCUGACGCUGAGGCGCGAAAGCCAGGGGAGCAAACGGGAUUAGAUACCCCGGUAGUCCUGGCCCUAAACGAUGGGUACUAGAUUGCGGACUUACAUGGGUUCGCAGUCGAAGCUAAUGUUUUAAGUACCCCGCCUGGGGAGUAUGGUCGCAAGGCUGAAACUCAAAGGAAUUGACGGGGGCUCACACAAGCGGUGGAGCAUGUGGCUUAAUUCGAGGCUACGCGAA